This 1730-nucleotide long non-coding RNA is filed under the name Homo sapiens (human). RNAcentral describes it as "non-protein coding RGPD4-AS1:5". The record is from RNAcentral. Lineage: Eukaryota; Metazoa; Chordata; Mammalia; Primates; Hominidae.
ACUCCGCUGGGCUCUUGGCAGCACCCUGUGCUCUGAGGGUGUCUUGCCCGCCGGGCGCCGUGGCUCACGCCUGUAAUCCCAACACUUUGGGAGGCUGAGGCGGGCGGAUCACUUGAGGUCAAGAGUUCAAGACCAGCCUGGCCAACAUGAUUCUACUCUAAAAGUCACCAGGAAAAAUUCAGCUCCACUGGUCCUGGCUCUAAGUCUACUAGCAAAAUCUUCCAGAGAAGUGGAAAAGCCAUCAGCCAAUGUGUUAGACUAUCAUUUCCAUGACCUUACACCUAUCAAAAAGGCACUAUUACCAGGCUUAUAGAAUUCUAAAAAAGUUGGAAACCAUUUUCCAUUAUAAAAGAAAUUCUUCCAAAUCACACAAAACACUCUGACACUUCUCCAAUUCCCCCUAUCAUGGGGCUGGCAGCAGCCGCUUUGCGUCCUGAAUGUCAUGACAGUGAUGAUAACAGUAAUGAUGAUAACAGCAAUGAUGAAGUCUCACAUUUAAAAUUUUCAAGUCACUCAUCACAUCCCAAGUCACUCCCUUCAUUACCUUUUAUUUAUACUGGAGUCAUCCUGUGUGCCUCAGUCAGACCAUUUUGUAUGUACAAUGACCGACAAUGAGAUUUAACAUGCAGUUUGCAGAUCCUCCCUUCUCUGGGUCACCUGAAAAUAAGCCACAAACAAAGGAAUGAAAUUGUUGAUGAAAAGGGAAGAGGCAAGACUCCAUAUGAAGAAUACAACUGACUCACCUGUCUGUACAUGCCUCUGUGUGUGUGUUUUAUAUUGGUGCUGGUGAAGAUAGUUCUUUAUGCUGAUGCUUAAUAAGGUGAAAUGUGUCUAUUUUCUUCCAUUGGCCCAGGCACAGAUGCGAUUAUAAUUGCUAAGAUUAUUUGCAUAUUGGCUUUUAAUGAUGCAUUUAAAAAUAUUCAUCCCAUUUACUGACUUAUGCAGGCAAUGUACUUUUGUAAAUGUGGGCCAGCAUCAUGCUUAAAUUCCCAAACCACUAUUUAUUUAAAACUCAUCACUUCAGUUUUUAUACCCUUUCUCCCCCAUAAGGGAAAAAAUAUGAUUCUGACUGUAUAAGCACCAACUAAACAGAACACAAAACAUGGCAGACGAUAAAAACAUAUUUUCACAAAUGAGACAUGUCAUUUUACCAUCGAGGAGAGAAACAAAAUAAGCUGGUUUUCAAGUUCCAUAUCUUGUGUGCUCCUUUCAGCUAAAUGCCCUUACAUCUGUAAGCCCUUGGGACAGGUUAAGGCUUUUAUUAUUAUUUUAAAGUCUUCAUAACUACAACCUAGCAUCCAAAGUGAAACAGAUGCUAUUGGAUAUGAGUAGCAUAUGCAAUGGAAAUAUUGACAUUGCCUUCCCGACAGUCAUGAGGGAUAGACCAUAGGCUUUUUGGUAACCUAUAUUUUCUAGGCCCAAAGCAGGGAAUGAGAUGGCAGGGAAAUUCAGGGUAAACUCCAAAUUUACAUAAAGUUAUAGAAGAAUAUAGAUCAUGAGUAGUGGCUAGCACCUUCCUGACUUCCAGAAAAUGGUGGUGCCGAUAUUGAACAACAGUUUGGAGAAAAUGUAAAAUGUUUACAUUUACAUUUACAGUUUAGUCUUUGAACAACAGUUUGGAGAAAAUGUAAAAUGAAAAUUUGUUAACGAACUUGUUUUUAAAAAGCACCUAGACUCCAUAUAAGAGUACUUGUCCUAUGUUAUUUUCAUAAACUACAUUUGUGAUUGUU